UCGGUACAGCUUGAUAUUUCAUUAUUUACUAUUGUUAAUAUAAGUGAUUGAAUUAAAGGAUUAUAGAAAAUAUUUUUUGGUUGUUGUAUUUAUUUUAAAUAUGAUUUGUUUUGUUAUAGUUGAUUUGUACUGUGAAGGGUAUAUUGAAAUAUUAUUAAUAUAUUUAGAAGUUGAUUUUAAUAAAUUGUAUCUUGUGUAUCAGAGUUUAUUUAGAAAAUAAGAUGAAUUAAUUGUUAAUCUCGAUUUUAGGAGAGUUAAAAAUUUAUGUUAGUUGUUGUGAAAUAAUUAUUAAUAAUAAAUAUUUUGGGGGUGAAAUGUUAGUCGUUCUUAAUGGUAUCUGGUUGUUUUAGAAAUGAAUUUAAUUCAUAUAUUGAUUUUUGUAGUUGUUUUAUUAGUGAAAUGAUUUAAGUUGAUAUAAAUAUAAUGGGGGAUAAGCUUUGUUAUAAUAUUUAUAGGUGUUAAUGAUUAUUUGAAUGUAAUGGAUUUAUAAUUAAUUAUUUGAUUUGAGGAUGUUAAAAUUUUAUUUGUUUGUUGUUAUGAUUUAUUUUUAUAUUAGGUUUUUUAUAAAAUAGUUUUAAUUAAUUAUGUAGUAAUUGUUAUAAUGAUGAAAUUAGUAUAUAUAUUUAUGUUAUGGGUAAUUUUAUGUGAAAUAUAAGGCUAAGGAAUUAGGCAAAAAAGUUUAUAGUAUUCGCCUGUUUAACAAAAACAUCUUUUCUUGAUUGUUUAGGAAAUAUGACCUGCCCACUGAAAUGUUUUAAAGGGCCGCGGUAAAUUGACCGUGCAAAGGUAGCAUAAUCAUUAGUCUUUUAAUUGGAGGCUGGAAUGAAUGGUUGGACGAAAUAUUAACUGUCUUGGUUUUAAUAGUAGAAAUUAAUUAUUAAGUUAAAAAGCUUAAAUUCAUUUUUGGGACGAGAAGACCCUAUAGAGUUUUACAUUUAAAUACGUAAUGAAUUGUUGGGUAUAAAUAAUUUAUGUAUAAGUGUUUUAUUGGGGUGAUAGGGGGAUAAAAAAAACUCCUUUUAUUAUAUGUAUAUUGAUGUAUAAAUGGUAAUAUUGAUCCAUUAAUAGUGAUUAUAAGACUAAAUUACCUUAGGGAUAACAGCGUAAUCUUUUCUGAGAGUUCUUAUCGACGAGAGGGGUUGCGACCUCGAUGUUGGAUUCAAGAUAAAUAUUAGGUGUAGAAUUUUAAUAUAUUAAGUCUGUUCGACUUUUAAAAUCUUACAUGAUCUGAGUUCAAACCGGCGUGAGCCAGGUUGGUUUCUAUCUAAAAAUAGAGGUAGUAUUUUAGUACGAAAGGACCAUAUACUGAAAAUAAUUUUUUAUUUUGAAUAAUAUUAAUUGACUACUUUGGCAGAAAAGUGCAGUGGAUUUAGACUCUAUUUA
RNAcentral lists this ribosomal RNA (1383 nucleotides) under Carbrunneria paramaxi. Its description in RNAcentral is "16S ribosomal RNA". The stretch from base 608 to 1383 matches the Rfam family "Archaeal large subunit ribosomal RNA", at positions 1423 to 2944 of the family's 2987-position model. Lineage: Eukaryota; Metazoa; Arthropoda; Insecta; Blattodea; Blattellidae. The record is from RNAcentral.